Chenopodium quinoa (quinoa) is the source of this 1015-nucleotide long non-coding RNA. RefSeq lists it as uncharacterized. The record is from RefSeq and is a predicted model, not a curated record. NCBI's taxonomy places the organism in Eukaryota, Viridiplantae, Streptophyta, Magnoliopsida, Caryophyllales, Amaranthaceae. The transcript is spliced from 3 exons.
ACUUUUGUAUCCUGUCCAUAGAUUUCUCAAACUCUAUUCUACCCUUGGUAUACUCAGAAGUAGACAGUGGCGGACUUGGGCUUAGACCUGGUGGGUCAAGUGACUCACCAGGCCCAAAAAAAAAUUUUAAGUUAAUUUUAAAAAAAAAAAAAAAAAAAAAAAAUCAGUUUUCCCAAAUUCACGAAUUCAGUAUUUCAGUUCAUGGCCUUCAAUCCUUCAUGCCCUAGCCAAUUCGCCUCUUCCCUAAUUCCCUUCAAGGCUUCAAUCCUUCGCCAUCAUCAAUCACCUAUUCACCUCCAUAAUCGCCUCCUCCAGUCCUCCUCUUCGCAGUUCGCAACUCGCAACUUCGCAAGUAAGCAUCUUCCUCACUCCUCAGUUAGUCAGUUCCUCUUCGCAGACUCGCAGUUCGUGCCUUCGACCCUUCGUCUUCCUCUUCGCAUAAAUUCAGCUGUGAUGCUGUGAUGCUGGCCUGCUGCCCUGUGAGCUUGUGAUUUCAAGCUGUGAAAUGGUGAAUUUGUUAAUUGUUCAAGCUGUGAUACUGCCUGCUGGCCUGCUGCUCGCCUAGUCGGCAGUCGCCUGCUGCCCUGCUCCACUGCUCGAGAGUCGAGAGCGUGCUCUGCGCUCACCGCUCUUCGCUUCGUCGCUUCUUCUAAAGUCUAAUCUCCUAUUCUCAUUUUGCUAAAUGAAGAGAAAACGCACUCCAAAUGAACUGCAAAACAUUACUAGCUUCUUUGCUAAAAAGAAUCCUACUUCAACUUCUCUUCCACAUCCCACACAAAAUGAACAAACUAUAUCUCCACCUCAACAGAGUGAACAAACUAUAUGUCCACCUCAAGAAAGUGAACAACAUUCAUCUCCAUCUAAUUAUUCCACUCAAAAUUCCCCUCAAAAUGAACAAGGCCAAUGUUCUCCUAAUGCCCCAAUCUUUGGUGAAAGAUUAAGUGAACAUGAAUUUGCUAAUCUUCCACAAGAUCCAGGAAAGAGGAUACUUGAUUAUCGAUUGUGAACAUGAAUU